CGGGGUGCAGCAGGCGCGAAACCUUUACCAUGCACGAAAGUGUGAUAAGGUUACCCGGAGUGCUAGGAGUACAACUUCUAGCUGUUAUAGUGUGUAGAUAACACUAUGAGAAAGGAGAGGGCAAGGCUGGUGCCAGCCGCCGCGGUAAAACCAGCUCUUCAAGUGGUCGGGAACAUUAUUGGGCUUAAAGUGUCCGUAGCCGGUUUAGCAAGUCCCUGGUCAAAGCUGGCAGCUUAACUGUCAGUUCGCUAGGGAAACUGCUUCACUAGAGGGCGGGAAAGGUCUGAGGUACUCCAGGGGUAGCGGUGAAAUGCGAUAAUCCUUGGGGGGCCACCAGUGGCGAAGGCGUCAGACUGGAACGCGCCUGACGGUGAUGGACGAAAGCCAGGGGAGCGAACGGGAUUAGAUACCCCGGUAGUCCUGGCUGUAAACGAUGCGCGUUAGGUGUUGGUAGGGCUAUGAGCUAUAUCAGUGCCGUAGGGAAACCGUUAAACGUGCCGCCUGGGAAGUACGCUCGCAAGAGUGAAACUUAAAGGAAUUGGCGGGGGAGCAC
RNAcentral lists this ribosomal RNA (553 nucleotides) under uncultured archaeon. Its description in RNAcentral is "bacterial SSU rRNA". It matches the Rfam family "Archaeal small subunit ribosomal RNA", at positions 326 to 879 of the family's 1478-position model. The record is from RNAcentral.